RNAcentral lists this ribosomal RNA (440 nucleotides) under uncultured bacterium. RNAcentral describes it as "bacterial SSU rRNA". It matches the Rfam family "Bacterial small subunit ribosomal RNA", at positions 29 to 507 of the family's 1533-position model. The record is from RNAcentral.
AACGAACGCUGGCGGCAUGCCUAACACAUGCAAGUCGAACGAGACCUUCGGGUCUAGUGGCGCACGGGUGCGUAACGCGUGGGAAUCUACCCUUGGGUUCGGAAUAACUCAGAGAAAUUUGAGCUAAUACCGGAUGAUGUCGAAAGACCAAAGAUUUAUCGCCCAAGGAUGAGCCCGCGUAGGAUUAGCUAGUUGGUGAGGUAAAGGCUCACCAAGGCAACGAUCCUUAGCUGGUCUGAGAGGAUGAUCAGCCACACUGGGACUGAGACACGGCCCAGACUCCUACGGGAGGCAGCAGUGGGGAAUAUUGGACAAUGGGCGGAAAGCCUGAUCCAGCAAUGCCGCGUGAGUGAUGAAGGCCUUAGGGUUGUAAAGCUCUUUUAGCAGGGAAGAAGCGAAAGUGACGGUACCUGCAGAAAAAGACGCCGGCUAACUACGUG